ACAUAUUCUUGAUGUGGAUUUAUUACUUGAUUGGAUUAUAGAUGUAGUUGUACUCAUCUUUUCUUUUUUUUGUUCAUAUAUGUAUGAGGAAAUUAGAAACAAGUUCAAAGGUCUUGCUUUUUUUUCUUUUCUCAAUAUCUUUGAUUCUAUAUCAAAUUUUCUUCAUAAUUAAUUCUCCUUUGUCAAUGUUGAUAUUGUAGUUAACAAUCACAAGAAGGACAAAUAACUGAAGAAGAAAAUUGUAAAGGCCAGGGUGCGAAAGGGAUCACCGAUUUGAAAUCAGCACUUCAAGUAAACAGUAGAAACAUAAUUUUUUUUGCACAAAGUUGGAAAGGAUAUAGCAGUUGUUACAGACUAAUUUUUGGAAACGUAGACUAGCAUAUUCACCUAGGGUGAGUGGACUCUCCUGCUUUUGCUUUUGCUUUUUCUUUUGCUUCUGUUUUCAUUUCCGUGCGAUUUCAAAUCUCCCCAUGCCUAUAGUUGGGAAAUUAUGUCCAAUGAGCUUAUAAUUCGAAAGUUCUCAAUAUUUGGUCUCUGGAUAA
Molecule: non-coding RNA, 542 nt
Organism: Malus domestica (apple)
Lineage: Eukaryota; Viridiplantae; Streptophyta; Magnoliopsida; Rosales; Rosaceae
Source: RefSeq, a predicted model, not a curated record